AACUAUUUGAAUAAAUUCUUAAAACGUCACUUUGAUACUGGCUGAAAUUGAAACCACGGAAACGCUCUUUGAACCAGAUCAGGAUCACCUUUAGGAAAACACUUGAAAACAUCCUUUUGAUGCGGUUGUCAGCAAUUUUUCAUCUAAAAAAUGUCUUCCAUCACAUCAUAGGACAUGGUAAACUCUCCAAUCUUCUCUAGCUUCCCUCUCUUGCCUGCCCUGAGUAUAAGAUUACCAUGCUGGUAGGAAAAAAUUCCUUUGGUCAAAUGAAUUAUAUCGCCUGAAUCAAAAGCAUCGCAUUCAUCUCCCCAAAGCUGAAGAUGAACUGCCGCUGUCUCAUCAGCUACAAGAGUCAAACAUAUCUUAUUCUUCCCUUCUAGCGUUGCGCUGCCUUUCUCCAAAACUAUAAACUUAGUCUCUAUGUUGUUCUGAGCUGCAGGCACAAUGUCUUUAAGCAGAACCAUCUCUGAUUUGUUCCUCAAAGGACAUCCACUU
Molecule: small RNA, 495 nt
Filed under: Vigna angularis var. angularis
Lineage: Eukaryota; Viridiplantae; Streptophyta; Magnoliopsida; Fabales; Fabaceae
Description: Non-protein coding transcript
Source: RNAcentral